This 75-nucleotide transfer RNA is filed under the name Candidatus Yanofskybacteria bacterium RIFCSPLOWO2_01_FULL_49_17. Its description in RNAcentral is "tRNA-Val". It matches the Rfam family "tRNA". From Rfam's summary of the family: Transfer RNA (tRNA) molecules are approximately 80 nucleotides in length. Their secondary structure includes four short double-helical elements and three loops (D, anti-codon, and T loops). Lineage: Bacteria; Candidatus Yanofskyibacteriota. The record is from RNAcentral.
GCGCGGUUAGCUCAGUGGUAGAGCGCCUCGUUUACACCGAGGAGGCCGUAGGCUCAAUCCCUACACCGCGCACAA